This 76-nucleotide transfer RNA is filed under the name Salmonella enterica subsp. enterica. RNAcentral describes it as "tRNA-Lys". It matches the Rfam family "tRNA". From Rfam's summary of the family: Transfer RNA (tRNA) molecules are approximately 80 nucleotides in length. Their secondary structure includes four short double-helical elements and three loops (D, anti-codon, and T loops). The record is from RNAcentral. Lineage: Bacteria; Pseudomonadati; Pseudomonadota; Gammaproteobacteria; Enterobacterales; Enterobacteriaceae.
GGGUCGUUAGCUCAGUUGGUAGAGCAGUUGACUUUUAAUCAGUGGUCGCGAGUUUCGAAUCCUGCACGACCCACCA